RNAcentral lists this ribosomal RNA (506 nucleotides) under uncultured bacterium. RNAcentral's name for it is "partial 16S ribosomal RNA". It matches the Rfam family "Bacterial small subunit ribosomal RNA", at positions 28 to 523 of the family's 1533-position model. The record is from RNAcentral.
GAUGAACGCUAGCUACAGGCUUAACACAUGCAAGUCGAGGGGUAACGAGAGGGAAGCUUGCUUUCCUUGUCGACGACCGGCGCACGGGUGAGUAACGCGUAUCCAACCUGCCCCCAACUAGGGAAUAACCUUGCGAAAGUAAGACUAAUACCCUAUAAUUUCCUCAGAUGUCAUCUGACGAGGAAUAAAGAUUUAUCGGUUGUGGAUGGGGAUGCGUCUGAUUAGCUUGUUGGCGGGGUAACGGCCCACCAAGGCAACGAUCAGUAGGGGUUCUGAGAGGAAGGUCCCCCACAUUGGAACUGAGACACGGUCCAAACUCCUACGAGAGGCAGCAGUGAGGAAUAUUGGUCAAUGGGCGGAAGCCUGAACCAGCCAAGUAGCGUGAAGGAUGACGGCCCUAUGGGUUGUAAACUGCUUUUAUACAGGAAUAAAGUUAGCCACGUGUGGUUAUUUGUAGGUACUGUAUGAAUAAGGACCGGCUAAUUCCGUGCCAGCCGCCGCAGUAA